UACGUAGGGUGCAAGCGUUGUCCGGAAUUAUUGGGCGUAAAGAGCUCGUAGGCGGUCUGUCGCGUCUGCUGUGAAAACCUAGGGCUUAACUCUGGGCGUGCAGUGGGUACGGGCAGGCUAGAGUGCGGUAGGGGAGACUGGAAUUCCUGGUGUAGCGGUGAAAUGCGCAGAUAUCAGGAGGAACACCGGUGGCGAAGGCGGGUCUCUGGGCCGUAACUGACGCUGAGGAGCGAAAGCAUGGGAGCGAACAGG
This 252-nucleotide ribosomal RNA is filed under the name uncultured bacterium. Its description in RNAcentral is "partial 16S ribosomal RNA". It matches the Rfam family "Bacterial small subunit ribosomal RNA", at positions 524 to 776 of the family's 1533-position model. The record is from RNAcentral.